AACGAACGCUGGCGGCAUGCCUAACACAUGCAAGUCGAACGAGACCUUCGGGUCUAGUGGCGCACGGGUGCGUAACGCGUGGGAACCUGCCCUUAGGUUCGGAAUAACUCCCCGACAGGGGUGCUAAUACCGGACAAUGUCUUCGGCCCAAAGAUUUAUCGCCUUUGGAUGGGCCAGCGUUGGAUUAGCUAGUUGGUGAGGUAAAAGCCUACCAAGGCGACGAUCCAUAGCUGGUCUGAGAGGGGGAUAAGCCACACUGGGACUGAGACACGGCCCAGACUGCUACGGGAGGCAGCAGUAGGGAAGCGUCCGCAAGGGGCGAAAGCCUGACGGAGCAACGCCGCGUGAGUGAGGAAGGUCUUCUGAUCGUAAAACUCUGUUAUUAGGGAAGAAGAUAUGUGUAAGUAACUGUGCACAUCUUGACGGUACCUAAUCAGAAAGCCACGGCUAACUACGUG
This 458-nucleotide ribosomal RNA is filed under the name uncultured bacterium. RNAcentral describes it as "partial 16S ribosomal RNA". It matches the Rfam family "Bacterial small subunit ribosomal RNA", at positions 29 to 507 of the family's 1533-position model. The record is from RNAcentral.